GGGCCGUUAGCUCAUCUGGUAGAGUGCCUGCUUUGCACGCAGGAGGUGACCGGUUCGAUCCCGGUACGGUCCACCA
RNAcentral lists this transfer RNA (76 nucleotides) under Parcubacteria group bacterium ADurb.Bin316. RNAcentral's name for it is "tRNA-Ala". It matches the Rfam family "tRNA". Rfam says of the family: Transfer RNA (tRNA) molecules are approximately 80 nucleotides in length. Their secondary structure includes four short double-helical elements and three loops (D, anti-codon, and T loops). The record is from RNAcentral. RNAcentral also lists the same sequence under 1 other name.